This 107-nucleotide small nuclear RNA is filed under the name Carlito syrichta (Philippine tarsier). The record is from RNAcentral. Lineage: Eukaryota; Metazoa; Chordata; Mammalia; Primates; Tarsiidae.
GUGCUUGCUUCGGCAGCACAAAUAUUAAAAUUGGAAUGAUAGAGAGAAGAUUAGCCUGGCCCCUGCAUAAGGAUGACAUACAAAUUGAUGAAGCAUUCCAUAUUUUU